Molecule: ribosomal RNA, 429 nt
Filed under: Bacillota bacterium
Lineage: Bacteria; Bacillati; Bacillota
Description: Firmicutes bacterium partial 16S ribosomal RNA
Rfam family: Bacterial small subunit ribosomal RNA
Source: RNAcentral
UGGGGAAAUUUGGACAAUGGGGGCAACCCUGAUCCAGCAAUGCCGCGUGUGUGAAGAAGGCCUUCGGGUUGUAAAGCACUUUUGUCCGGGAAGAAAACGCACCUGAUAAUACCGGGUGUGGAUGACGGUACCGGAAGAAUAAGGACCGGCUAACUACGUGCCAGCAGCCGCGGUAAUACGUAGGGUCCAAGCGUUAAUCGGAAUUACUGGGCGUAAAGCGUGCGCAGGCGGUUGUGCAAGACCGAUGUGAAAUCCCCGGGCUUAACCUGGGAAUUGCAUUGGUGACUGCACGGCUAGAGUGUGUCAGAGGGGGGUAGAAUUCCACGUGUAGCAGUGAAAUGCGUAGAGAUGUGGAGGAAUACCGAUGGCGAAGGCAGCCCCCUGGGAUAACACUGACGCUCAUGCACGAAAGCGUGGGGAGCAAACAGG